CCUACGGGUGGCUGCAGUGAGGAAUAUUGGUCAAUGGGCGGGAGCCUGAACCAGCCAAGUCGCGUGAGGGAUUACGGCCCUACGGGUCGUAAACCUCUUUUGCCGGGGAGCAACGGGCCGCACGUGUGGGGGCCGUGAGAGUACCCGGAGAAAAAGCAUCGGCUAACUCCGUGCCAGCAGCCGCGGUAAUACGGAGGAUGCGAGCGUUAUCCGGAUUUAUUGGGUUUAAAGGGUGCGUAGGCGGGUCGUUAAGUCGGUGGUCAAAUUGCGGGGCUCAACCCCUGCCCGCCGUUGAAACUGGCGCUCUUGAGUGGGAGAGAAGUAUGCGGAAUGCGUGGUGUAGCGGUGAAAUGCAUAGAUAUCACGCAGAACCCCGAUUGCGAAGGCAGCAUACCGGCUUCCGACUGACGCUGAGGCACGAAAGCGUGGGGAUCGAACAGGAUUAGAUACCCUGGUAGUC
RNAcentral lists this ribosomal RNA (460 nucleotides) under uncultured bacterium. RNAcentral's name for it is "partial 16S ribosomal RNA". It matches the Rfam family "Bacterial small subunit ribosomal RNA", at positions 338 to 795 of the family's 1533-position model. The record is from RNAcentral.